UCCCUCGUGGCGCAAUUGGCUAGCGCGUUCGACUGUUACUGGAUAAUAUCCUGGUAUCGAGAGGUUGGUGGUUCGAGCCCACCCGAGGGAG
Molecule: transfer RNA, 91 nt
Filed under: Pseudogymnoascus sp. VKM F-3775
Lineage: Eukaryota; Fungi; Ascomycota; Leotiomycetes; Thelebolales; Thelebolaceae
Rfam family: tRNA
About the family: Transfer RNA (tRNA) molecules are approximately 80 nucleotides in length. Their secondary structure includes four short double-helical elements and three loops (D, anti-codon, and T loops).
Source: Rfam by way of RNAcentral